GUGAAUCAUCGAAUUUUUGAACGCAAAUUGCACUCUCUUCGGAGAGUAUGCCUGUGUGAGGGUCAGAAUAAAAAAAAUCGACAUAGUCGCUGUUUCGCGGUGACAUUCGUCGGAAAUUGGGUCAUCUUAAACCUUUGGGUUUUAAGCGGAUUAAAAUUUUCUUUACGAUUAUACGAACGUUUCUAAGAUUGACUUACACGAAUAAGGUAACGAUUUUUAUUAGACGUGGCCGUUGAAGCGGAUGAUGUUCAUAAAUAUUAC
RNAcentral lists this unclassified non-coding RNA (261 nucleotides) under Glomus sp. RNAcentral's name for it is "partial contains 5.8S ribosomal RNA and internal transcribed spacer 2". The stretch from base 1 to 65 matches the Rfam family "5.8S ribosomal RNA", at positions 84 to 154 of the family's 154-position model. Lineage: Eukaryota; Fungi; Glomeromycota; Glomeromycetes; Glomerales; Glomeraceae. The record is from RNAcentral.